Molecule: long non-coding RNA, 4430 nt
Filed under: Arabidopsis lyrata
Lineage: Eukaryota; Viridiplantae; Streptophyta; Magnoliopsida; Brassicales; Brassicaceae
Description: long non-coding RNA (ALYR_LNC001101)
Source: RNAcentral
GUGAAGAGGCGAUUAUCCGGGUUUGAUGUGACAAACCCUACGAGAAGUGUUCCUUGUUCGACAACCAAGAUCUCCGUGGCACGUGGGUGGGUGUGAGGUGGGUUUUGUCCGUUAACCGCAUAGUCAAUACGAACAAGGGAGAUUCCAAGAGUGUUUAACCCGAGAAGGUUGUUAACAUUGACGGCUGUCACGGUCGACCCAACUGGACUAGUUACGGGUCUUGCAUUUUGAAGCCCUGAGAAAAAGAAGUCAUCUGCUGUGACGAGCUUCGGAUCCUUGCAGAACUUUCCAUUAACAAAAACUGAAAAUAAGAAGAAAGAGUGUGAUUAAGAUAUGAGAAAAUUUAUUAAAAAUUAUGAGUAAAAAUGAUUUGCAAUCAUCAUGUACAUACUUCCAUUUGCUGAGGUGUUGGCGCUGACACAAAAGUCUUGAAGUUGGCUUGGAUCAGAAGCAAUGGCCAAUGGAAGUGUUAAAGCCAAGAGAGAGAGCACUGCAAGAUAUGAGAGACUCUUCAUUGCCAUAAAAGAUAGAGGAAGGUGUUUUUGUUUCUUGAAUAAGAUUGUAUUGAAGAGAUAAGAAACUUAUGAGACAUAGACUUCACUUUAUAGAUGAGUUUACGUGUUGAACUAAUCCAAGAAAUUAAAUAAUGAACUUGAUAUUUGAAAUGGUUAAAAAAGUUUUUUUUUUUUCAACCCAUUAUGUUUAAUUGAAAACUCAAAUUAAAAUGUAUACAUAAAUUUCUCCAACGAAACAUGAUGCACUUGAAUUUUGAAAUGGCAAGUGUUAGCGAGAAUAUAUACAUAGUUCAGCAAAUUGUACGUUCAAAGAUUAGUUUGUUGAAUAAUUCUUCCCUCAAUUUGUCAUUUAUUUCACUGAGUCAAACAAAAGGUCAAUGCGAUCGUGUUGAACUAAUCCAAGAAAUUAUGAACCUGAUAUUUGAAAUGGUUAAAGUAUUUAAACUUUGUUUUCUUUAACACAUCAUGUUUAAUUGAAAUUCAAGAUAAUAAAAUAUAUAUAUAUAUAUUUCCAACGAAACAUGAUGUACUUGAAGUUUGCUAUACAUAGUUUAGUAAAUUAUACGUUUAUUAGUAUAUACAUAGUAAAAUUAAAUAUGAAUCAAUGUUUAGGAAAUUAACAUAUAUAGAUCGAAAAAAACUAAGGUGAUUUAAAAUAAAACAAAAAAAUAUCCUAAACAUCAAAAAUCAAAACAAAAUAAUUUUAUCGAAUAAUAAAACUGUGUAAUAAUAAUAUUUGAGAAUGUAUUUGGAAAUUAGAAUAGUAUUGGUAGAUUGAAGAGUUUUUCAUUAGAAAUAAAAAGGAUUUUGUUUUUUUAAAUAAAUAUAUUUUAAAAUUAGAAUAAUUUUUAUGAGUUCGUAAGUUUCACAUUUUAGAAAAAUAAACAUUAAGAAUACAAUCUAGAAUUAUAAUAUACGUUAAAUUAUAUAUGUAGAAACUGCAAAAUUUUACAUUGAAAUCAUAUGUUUGUGAAUAGGAAUGAGUCCAUAUAUGAGAUUUCUUGUCUAUAAAGCAAUUUUAGAUGCACCAAAACAUGGUAGAAAAAAAACUUAUGACAAACAUCUCCUCAGAUUUCUGUUUCUGAUGUUUACUUUAAUAAAAAGAUCAUGAAACUUAUAAAAAAAAAUUGAGUAUUUAAUGAUAUGAAGGAGAAAAUAGAAAUGAUCUAAGGAGAAAAGAGAGUAAAUGUCGGAACACGACGAGUGAAUCAUAGAAGAUAACGAGAAAAAUUGUAGUGAAAAUGUGAGAAAUUUUUUACUAUUUUGGAAAAGUAAUGCAUAUGGGUAAAAUAAAAUCUUUUAAAAUUCAAUUAAGUAUAUUUUUACUCAAAAUAAAAAUUUCAAAUUAAGUUCUGCGCAACGUGUGGAUAUACAAUCUACUCCCUCUGUUCCUCCAAGUUUGAUGUUUUACAUAGUUUAGCAGAUUAUACGUUAUAUGUUUAGUUUGUUGAAUAAUUCUUCCCUCAAUUUGUCAUUUAUUUCACUAAGUCAAACAAAGGGUCAAUGUGAACGUGUCGGGGUGUGUUAAAAUGUUAACGUUUUUGGUUUUGUUUGAUGAUAAGACACGACUAUAUAAACCAUAUAUAUAUAAAUGGAUGCUGGGAAUAGUAUAGAGAUAAUUAAGAUAUAAAUAAUGUUUUCAGAUAUAUCGGUUCUAGCUAGGCCUGGGUACAAGAUAAGUACUUGCUAUUUUUUAAGUAUUUGUGACUUGCUUUAGCCCGUACAAGUAAUUAAAAUUUCGGCUUGAUACUCGAUUUUUUUGAGCAAGUACUUGCUAUAAUAAGUACCCGUCCAAAAUCUUGUUACUUGCAAGUAACUUGACUCAGCUUGUUACUUGCAAGGUAAAUUGACUUGAUUUGGCUUGUUACUUGCAAGAUACUUGUUACUUGAAGUUUUGAACUAAAUGAUUUAAUUUAAAUAAAAAAACGAAUCUCAUACAUAUUAUAAUUCAUUCCGAAUUCUAAACAUCAUAAAAUCACCAAAUAUUAAAGUUCAAAACAUCAUGGAAUCACAACACAUUCAAAAUUCCAAAAGAUAAGCAUUUUAAAACAAUUUGGUUCAAACUGAAACCCUAAAAAAAGAGAAACUGUGAAAGACUUCUCCGGAUUGUUUUUUAUUGUUUAUUUGCUAUUGGAUUUUUAAAGUAGUUGGGUUAUUUAGGUUUAAUGGGCUUUAAGUUGUAACUAAUGUUAGCCCUUAUAGUUUUAGUUUAUAACAUUGGGCUUCAUAGUUUUAGUAAUUGGGUUUAAUAGUGGUUGGGCUUUAUAGUUUAAAUAUGUCUUAUAAUACAAAACGGGGCGAGUAACGGGGCAAGUAUCAAAACGGGAUGAGUAACGGGCCAAAUAUAAAAAAAAAUUAUGAUACUUGAUACUUGACCCUUACUUGCAAGUAAUAUAAUUUAUCUACUUGAUACUCGACUUGACUAUAGCGGGUAUUUGAAUUUUCAACGCGAGUACGAACCAAAUAGCGUGUACAAAACGGAUAGCGAGUACUUGUGCCCAAACCUAGUUCUAGCUAAAUCCAUCGUCGAGCACUAGCCAAAAAUAUGUGUCACCCAUGAAUUCUCCUCUUAUAGUCAUCAUUAUGAUUUCUUUCCAAUAUUUUUUUGGUUUACGUUUUAACAUGUAAAAACAUUACACACAUUCGAGUAAAACUAAAAUGUUUAACAAAUCGUUAAUGCGGAAAAUAGUAAGUGGGACAAAAAUAUAUCUUAUCAUCGGCAACAACCAUAUAUACGUCGUUUCCCUUUUAAUAUAAAACUUAUUUCCUACCUUAUAGACCCGAACCCGAUGAUAUCGGGGAUCCAAAGCAUAGUCGUCGGCCCAAUUAAUUAUUUGGGCCCACAAUAAUUUUUUCGUCCAAGUGAAAGAAGAUAAUCCACUAGAUUUGUUUUUUUUUUUUUCUCUCUCUUUUGAUACAAAUUGAACAAACAAGACGAAGAAGAAAAGACUAAACAAAAAUCAAAUCAAGUUAAUUAAAACCGAGUAAGAACUUCCUAGGCACGUGACUCGUCUUUAAUUAACUUCUUUAGCUAAAAGAUUAGAUUCUUCGUCCUUGACUCCUCAAGGCGAAACCUCUUUCUUUCUGUUUUUAUGGUAAAAGAUUCUCAAGGCGAAACCUAUCAAUAAGCUACAGACUUUAAUAUAUUAAUUUAGGAAUGAAUAUAGAUUUUUUUUUUUUUUUUGUUGAAGAAAACUCCAUCAGAAUAGAGAUAAUUUGCAGUCGUGAAUUUCCAAAAUGACAUUAGGAACAUGAAUCGAUUUCUAAAAACAUAAAAAUAUUAAUUUAUUUAGAGUUUGAUUAAAAGCAUUGACAAACAUUCAUGCCAUGUAAUGAUAAGCGGAUAAUACAAGAUCCUUAUUCAGCUGGAAGUACAUAAAAGAAAAAGCAACUAAAAGCACAAUAUUAUUAUUUUUUGAACUUGUUCUGUAGAUCCACGACAAUCCUAGGGUCCAACUGGAACGCCCUUGCAAGAAUACUUGGGUUAAUCGCUGGGUUAGACCCAAACACUGUGUUAGCAAUAGUGAUGACACCAGGGUUUUGGCUGCUUAGAGCGGCGAAUGCAACCGCUGGUUCCUUGCCAAUGUUUGCUUGGAAAUGGAUGAGUCCCUCUGGAAACACAAAUACAUCACCCUCGUUAAGAACUUUAGUGAAGAGGCGAUUAUCCGGGUUUGAUGUGACAAACCCUACGAGAAGUGUUCCUUGUUCGACAACCAAGAUCUCCGUGGCACGUGGGUGGGUGUGAGGUGGGUUCUGUCCGUUAACCGCAUAAUCAAUACGGACAAGGGAGAUUCCAAGAGUGUUUAACCCUAGAAGGUUGUUAACAUUGACGGCUGUCACGGUCGACCCAACUGGACUAGUUACCGGUCUUGCAUUUUGAAGCCCUGAGAAAAAGAAGUCAUCUGCUGUGACGAG